Ornithodoros turicata is the source of this 362-nucleotide long non-coding RNA. RefSeq lists it as uncharacterized. The record is from RefSeq and is a predicted model, not a curated record. The transcript is spliced from 3 exons. Lineage: Eukaryota; Metazoa; Arthropoda; Arachnida; Ixodida; Argasidae.
UUUACCAAGUGACGACCAACAGCGGCAGCAAUGGCUUGCGACAGUCCUGUCACGACUCUGGCAAGGUAGAAAGCUGGAGAACAUUCGGUUCUGCGAACGGCAUUUCACACCUUCCGACUACGUGAUACACCCCUCUGUGUCACGACGACUCGGACGGCAGCCACAGAUGUACCGCCUGGAGAAGACGGCAGUUCCUUCUUUGAAUUUUGCUGCAGCUGCAGAGGCUGAUCGUUACAUGGAAGUCGAGGACUCCCAAGUUGACUGGCCGGAAGUAGUCACAUCUCGUGAGUCUCAGAUGACUACAACUAGCCAAGCUGCCUCAUUAGUGGAACCUUCCCACCUGGACCUUCCUGUUGGACAUG